RNAcentral lists this ribosomal RNA (2113 nucleotides) under fermentation metagenome. Its description in RNAcentral is "bacterial LSU rRNA". It matches the Rfam family "Bacterial large subunit ribosomal RNA", at positions 3 to 2118 of the family's 2925-position model. The record is from RNAcentral.
UUAAGUUAGGAAGGGCGCAUGGUGGAUGCCUUGGCACUAGGAGUCGAUGAAGGACGUGACUAACUGCGAUAUGCUUCGGGAAGCUGUAAGUAAGCAAUGACCCGGAGAUCUCCGAAUGGGGCAACCCAAUGACUGUAACGAGUUAUUAUCGCCGGCUGAAUACAUAGGCCGGUGGAAGACAGACGCAGGGAACUGAAACAUCUAAGUACCUGCAGGAAAAUAAAGAAAUUUCGAUUCCCUCAGUAGCGGCGAGCGAACGGGGAACAGCCCAAACCAAGAAGCUUGCUUCUUGGGGUUGUAGGACUGGACAUUUGAGUUACCAAGAAAAACUGUAGCCAAACGGCCUGGGAAGGCCGGCUAGAAAGGGUGACAGCCCCGUAGGCGAAACAGUUUUUCCUCAGUCCAGGAUCCUGAGUACGGCGGAACACGUGAAACUCCGUCGGAAUCCGGGAGGACCAUCUCCCAAGGCUAAAUACUACCUAGUGACCGAUAGUGGACCAGUACCGUGAGGGAAAGGUGAAAAGCACCCCGGGAGGGGAGUGAAACAGUUCCUGAAACCAUGUGCCUACAAGUAGUCAGAGCCCGUUAAGGGGUGAUGGCGUGCCUUUUGUAGAAUGAACCGGCGAGUUACGUUAACGUGCCAGGUUAAGGUGGAAAGACCGGAGCCGCAGCGAAAGCGAGUCUGAACAGGGCGCACGAGUACGUUGACGUAGACCCGAAACCAAGUGACCUACCCAUGUCCAGGUUGAAAGUGCGGUAAAACGCACCGGAGGACCGAACCCGUGUAUGUUGAAAAAUGCUGGGAUGAGGUGUGGGUAGCGGUGAAAUUCCAAACGAACUUGGAGAUAGCUGGUUCUCUCCGAAAUAGCUUUAGGGCUAGCCUCGGAAGUUAAGGAUCGUGGAGGUAGAGCACUGUUUGGACUAGGGGCCCGUCUUGGGUUACUGAAUUCAGAUAAACUCCGAAUGCCACUGAUCUUGUUCCGGGAGUCAGACUGCGAGUGAUAAGAUCCGUAGUCGAAAGGGAAACAGCCCAGACCACCAAUUAAGGUCCCUAAAUAUGUGUUAAGUGGAAAAGGAUGUGGGAUCGCACAGACAACUAGGAUGUUGGCUCAGAAGCAGCCACCAUUCAAAGAGUGCGUAAUAGCUCACUAGUCGAGUGAUCCUGCGCCGAAAAUGUAACGGGGCUAAACACAUUACCGAAAUUGUGGAUCCGACCGUCAGGUCGGGUGGUAGGAGAGCGUUCUAAGGGCGAAGAAGCCGGACCGUCAGGACCGGUGGAGCGCUUAGAAGUGAGAAUGCCGGUAUGAGUAGCGCAAGGUCAGUGAGAAUCUGACCCACCGUAUGACUAAGGUUUCCUGGGGAAGGCUCGUCCUCCCAGGGUUAGUCGGGACCUAAGCCGAGGCCGCAAGGCGUAGGCGAUGGACAACAGGUGGAGAUUCCUGUACUGAUCAGAUCUGUUUGAGCAAUGGAGGGACGCAGGAGGCUAACGGAGCGUGCAGCUGGAAUUGCACGUCCAAGCAGCGAGUCGCAAAACGAGUGAAAGGCUUGUUUUGGUGGUAGAUGAGCUGUGAUGGGGAGCGAAAUUUAAGUAGCGAAGGAAGUCAUGUCACACUGCCGAGAAAAGCUUCUAGUGAGGAUCUGAUCACCCGUACCGCAAACCGACACAGGUAGUCGAGGAGAGUAUCCUCAGGUGAGCGAGUGAACUCUCGUUAAGGAACUCGGCAAAAUGACCCCGUAACUUCGGGAGAAGGGGUGCUGAUCGCAAGAUCAGCCGCAGUGAAUAGGCCCAGGCGACUGUUUAUCAAAAACACAGGUCUCUGCAAAAUCGUAAGAUGACGUAUAGGGGCUGACGCCUGCCCGGUGCUGGAAGGUUAAGAGGAUGAGUUAGCGCAAGCGAAGCUCAGAAUCGAAGCCCCAGUAAACGGCGGCCGUAACUAUAACGGUCCUAAGGUAGCGAAAUUCCUUGUCGGGUAAGUUCCGACCCGCACGAAAGGCGUAACGAUCUGGGCACUGUCUCAACGAGAGACUCGGUGAAAUUAUAAUACCCGUGAAGAUGCGGGUUACCCGCGACAGGACGGAAAGACCCCAUGGAGCUUUACUGUAGCUUGAUAUU